Tripterygium wilfordii is the source of this 2582-nucleotide long non-coding RNA. RefSeq lists it as uncharacterized. The transcript has 4 exons. The record is from RefSeq and is a predicted model, not a curated record. Lineage: Eukaryota; Viridiplantae; Streptophyta; Magnoliopsida; Celastrales; Celastraceae.
GACGACGAACCGCGGCCCAAGUAAUUGGGGCGUGCACCGCGCUUUUGUGUAAACCUUAAGCAGUCACCGACUCAAAUCUUUCAGACAUUCACCAACCUGUGGUGGUUCGUUUCGCUCCCCUGCGCUUUCCCCCCAUUUUUUUCCUUCCACAAUCUUCUUAUUCUAUCAUUUACGCAAACGCUCUGUGACCAACCCUAAUCUCUUGUUGAAACCUAGAAAACACGGAAAUUGAACUCCGUGAAUGCUUUAUUGCAACGAUCCUUAUAACGCGCUCCUUCUUCUUCUAAUUUUCUAAUUUCCAUCUCUCUACUCGGAGAAGGAAGCAGUUAUUUCUCUAUGCGCUGGCACGGUAAUUCUCUGGUUCAAGCAGGAUCUCCUAGAGACGAUCAUCCGGACUUCGUAGCCGACACCUAGGUCGUCGUCGGUCUCCGGAUUCUUUCUUGAUCUCUAAAUGUACGAUCAUCCAGGCCUUGUAGCCGCCUCCGAAUAUCCGGCCGCGGUUCCCCCUACGUCUUUGAUCAGCGGACUCUUUUUCGUGCGUAUGUUUCUUCAGCUUUGUCAUAGAUUCCUCGUCUUCUCUAAACUCGUUUUAGGUGUUUCUUUGUCUGUCGUUCAAUUGUUGUGGUUCAAACAGGAUCUCCGAGUCCACAGUCAUCAUGGCCUUGCAGCCGCCUCCGAGAUUUAGAUAUGCUUCUUUUGAUUUGUCUUCUACAUUCCUCUUUUUUCCUCAUCUCUUAGGGUUAUUAGGUUUCUUUUAUCGUUCAAGUGUUUUUGAAAUGUUUUAACUAUAUUAAUGUAAAAUCGAAUGAGUCAUUGAAAUGAAAAUGCCUGGUAAUGGAAAUGAUCAUUUUGAAAACAAUGCAGUAUUCUCAAAAUCUGAGCUGAUACAGGCACGUGGAAAACCAAAUUGAGUUGAGACACAGUAAUGUCUUGUUAUGCUUAGCCUAUGAUAAUUUUGCAACAAUAGAUUAUCGUGCUUUGCCAAAUUUACAAGCAACUGCUUGGCAGGCUAAUUUUCAAGCAUUUGUAAAUGCAACAAGAUUGCACAUGGGAGCCAAAACUUUGUAAUGGCAUGAUAUGGUGCAAAAAGAGUUAUAUCUGGUGAUUCUGCUGUGAUUUCUUAUUUUGAUUUGAAAUUCAUAUUGACUGAAUUUCCUGAUAAGUUGCAUGAGGCCAUGAGCUAUUUUGAUGAAAUAAUAGAACUAGUUCUUUGUACUUAUCCUAAUUUGAUUGCCUAAAUUUUUCUCUCACAAUGAUAGGAAAAGAAAAGAAAAGAUUCGGUCAUGGCCUUUGCACUCUGCUUUGUAUUUUCAGUUGAAUUAGGUCCAUCGAUUAGAUCCUCAAAAACAGCAAAUUUUUGUUAGUGAGAGAUAAUUAGGUGAGAGAAUGUUUUACGGAAUGAUGGAUCCUGAGUUGAUCAGACUUGUGCAGGAGCAAGAAUUGAAAGUCCCAUGAUGAAUUAGAUAGGAUACAACAAUAGUUCACACCUCUCUCCUUGUUUACUUUGAGAUUUUCAUUUAUUUGUGUGAUAUGUGUUGUGUUUGUUAUGAUUCAAAUCACAGGACCACUGAAAAGUGGAGCACUGCUAUUAGCAUAACCCCUUAACUUGAUGUCAUGCUUCCUGAAAACAAAGCUAUAUGAUGAGUGCAUAAAAGAAGGCUCUGAGGUCUUGGGGUAAUAUACUUUGUCAUGGUUCUUUAUCGAAUGGGUCAAGCUUAUAUAGAACACUUGGAGGCACCUGAAGUUUUCCAGAUGAUGGGCCUUUUGCAGAUGUCUGAGGUAAAUCUUUCCAAAUUUCUCAAGAUAUUAUACAGUUAGAGGGCUUCUUUUUAGCUUUUGCUUAACAUGCUGAACUCAUCGUUGGUAAAAUCAGGAAAGUAGAAAGUUUGUAUCUUCGAACUGGUUUUACGGCAUGGAUAGAACAUGAUUUUUAGGAUUUUGAACUCACGAAACCGAAAAUAUAGACUAUAAGCCUGUUAGAAAUGGAUAUCAAAAUUUUAUUAACAAAGAACGCAACCAAACUCGUGAGGCAGGCUCUUUUAUCCCUUAGAAAGUCAAUUAUAUUCACUUGGCUAAAUUGAAAGGCCAACUCUUUAAAGUAGAGCAUUUGAGAAAACCUUGUAGUGACCUUGCAUAUUAUUGUGUAAGCAUGCCUUAUUUUUUUCAAUAACCGAAAGGCUGCAUGUGACUAUUUUCAUGCAAUCAUGUGGUGGUGAUUAUUUGUUUGGGGAUCUGGUAAGGUGUGGGUUAUGGGAGUAUUAUUCUUAUGCAGUUUUUAAUUAUGCGGUACUAUGAUGCGAUCUGCCUGUUAUAAAAAAAUGCUGGCUUGUCCUUCUCUGUAAUGUAAUUUCUAUGUGAAUGUGCCAAGAUGAACUACCUUAAAUAUUUAUGGUUGAUUCUGUUACUUCUGUACGGGAAAAAUGAACUGAAGAAACUCAAAAAAUCCUAUUCUGCACGGUUGGAAACGUUUUUUUUUUUAAGCAACGAAGAUGAAGUUAAAAUCUGAUAUUUAGAAGAUGUUCCAUAAACUUUGUGAUGAUAUAACAAUCAUUGGGGCUAGGCCGGUAAGGUAAAUGAUGAAA